AUGAAUUUUCUCGCGCUGAUUCUGAAUAUUAAGAACCAAAAUGAAAAUAUCUGUACAUGAAAAAAGUAGACAUUUCGAUGCAAACCGUUAGCACGCCGAUGGUUAGCAUCAGGCUAAAGAACUGAUUCUUGUGACGCAGUUAGGUCAUUGUUUGAAAUUUCUUUGUGAGGGUAAACUUCAGUCAGGAAUGGCAAUAAAAUGUUUGAAGCCUCACGAAGAUGCGGCGACCCGCUUAAAGGAUACAUGACGUCGUGAGUCAAAACAGUCGCUUGUAAUCUUUUAUUAAAGCAAAACGUCUGGUACACGUUCAGUCUCGACAGGAAAUGACAGUGACACAGACAACACGAAACUUGCCCACUCUUCCUUCCUUCUUUCUCAUCAUCUUGACACAAAAAGACCCCCAUCCCAAUACAAAAAGAACUUGGGUUUUCUCAAGCCGGUUCGGUGUCAGUGUGCGUGCAUGCUGAUUGGCCUCUUAGCCGGUCUUAGCCACGCCCACAAGGACGCCUUUAAAUCAGACUCGUAAACUCCCAUCAACGUGAGGAAACUUACCCAAAGUCUUUAAAAGCUCGUUUGUCUCACAUUAACGUUUACAGCAGUUUCUCUAUACGUCGUUUUUCUUGCUUUCUUUUUUUUUUUACAGUCUGUACACGCUUAAUGUACAUCACCAACAACCAAUCUCUCUCUCUCACACACACACACGUACUCGCCUUGAACACGCGUACAACACGUCAAGAAGGCAUCAAAUAAAUAAGAAAUAAAUUACAGGUUAAAAAAAGAGCAGUUAAAAAAACAUGUUGAGUCAGUUGGCAUCUCAAACCAUUCAAUCCUCAUGAAGGUAUUUUAAGAGGAUUUUAAAGUGUUUGAAUACAGUGACACCUUGAGAUGUCCAUCAUAUUGUAUUUUAUGAAAACCAAGUGUGAUAGCAAAAUAAAUUAGGUGUUUGAUGAGUUCUUUCUCGUGUGCAAAUUGGCCACUGGGUGGGGUGGGGUGGGGGUAGUAUAACACUGUCAUCCAGACACAAAGAAGACUUUUACUAUGACCAGAAAUGACUCGGUAAGCUGUAGCAAUAAUUUGUUGCAGAGGAUAAAGAAUUUAUACCUUUAUGUAUUAUAGUUUUGGUAGUCCGUCUCUCAUGGUGGUUGAUUUAAAUACAUGAUGUGUAAUUCUGUCAUUCUUGUUCGCUUUUUAUGAAACGUGUUGAUGCCGAUACAGCGGCCAAGAUGUCGACUUUCUGCUUGGAAAAAGAAUGUCUACAUGACAGAUCGUGUCUGUAAAAAGUUGGCUCACUUGUAUCUCAAGGUGCCAGUGUACCUUCAAACUGGAAUUGAUCCCACCGUGAAUGAUUCCGCGGUCGUCAGGUGCUGAAAGUCGCUUCCAGCACGAAGAGGCCAGAAGAAGUGAGUGUCGGGUGUGAACCUACACUACCCUUUCCCACAGACGGCAUCCCACCUCCAAAGCUGGAAACGUUCCAUCUCAAACCCGUGAAAGUGUCGGCACUUGCGGCGCUGCGUGAAAGGGGCUUGGACGUUGCAGUGUUGCCUUUUUUUUUUUUUUUUGAGAAGCACAUUUGUGUUAAAUGGUGUGAAACGAGUAAACCAAAAGACACAUUCACAAAUCAGUGGCGAGUCGCGGUGGUGACAGGAAGUCACAUGACCCGACGGCAUCAAAGGGGGGCGUCCUGGUCCUGCUCUGUGAAGGCAUACGGAAAGACCUUUCAAGCAUUUGCUCCAUAGCCUUCAUACCCAGCUCCAACACGAUUCACUUCAUGUGUUACUUCUACGAGUGCACCCUAGUUGGUCUAACUCGUGUGCCAAAAUUUUCAUACAGUAGCUAGCGGAAGGCAGUUGUAAAAAUGUCACUACACUGUAAAAAAAAAAUAAAAAAU
Hippocampus comes (tiger tail seahorse) is the source of this 1888-nucleotide long non-coding RNA. RefSeq lists it as uncharacterized. The record is from RefSeq and is a predicted model, not a curated record. Lineage: Eukaryota; Metazoa; Chordata; Actinopteri; Syngnathiformes; Syngnathidae. The transcript is spliced from 2 exons.